ACGAAGAGUUUGAUCCUGGCUCAGGAUGAACGCUAGCGGGAGGCUUAAUACAUGCAAGUCGAGGGGUAACAGGGAAGCUUGCUUCUGCUGACGACCGGCGCACGGGUGCGUAACGCGUAUACAAUCUACCUCAUGCUGAGGGAUAGCCCAGAGAAAUUUGGAUUAAUACCUCAUAGUAUUAUAAGAUGGCAUCAUCUAAUAAUUAAAGGUUACGGUAUGAGAUGAGUAUGCGUUCUAUUAGCUAGUUGGUAUGGUAACGGCAUACCAAGGCAACGAUAGAUAGGGGCCCUGAGAGGGGGAUCCCCCACACUGGUACUGAGACACGGACCAGACUCCUACGGGAGGCAGCAGUGAGGAAUAUUGGACAAUGGAGGCAACUCUGAACCAGCCAUGCCGCGUGCAGGAAGACUGCCCUAUGGGUUGUAAACUGCUUUUAUAUAGGAAGAAACCUUUCCACGUGUGGAGAGCUGACGGUACUAUAAGAAUAAGGAUCGGCUAACUCCGUGCCAGCAGCCGCGGUAAUACG
This 526-nucleotide ribosomal RNA is filed under the name Schmidingerella taraikaensis. Its description in RNAcentral is "partial Bacterial small subunit ribosomal RNA". It matches the Rfam family "Bacterial small subunit ribosomal RNA", at positions 1 to 527 of the family's 1533-position model. The record is from RNAcentral. Lineage: Eukaryota; Ciliophora; Spirotrichea; Tintinnida; Rhabdonellidae.